Molecule: long non-coding RNA, 256 nt
Organism: Oncorhynchus masou masou (cherry salmon)
Lineage: Eukaryota; Metazoa; Chordata; Actinopteri; Salmoniformes; Salmonidae
Exons: 3
Source: RefSeq, a predicted model, not a curated record
UCAGCGACAGGACAGAGGAAUCAUCCGCAGUACAGUACUUCCAGUUCUAUGGCUACCUCUCCCAGCAGCAGAACAUGAUGCAGGACUACGUCAGGACAGGAACCUAUCAGAGGGCCAUCCUCCAGAACCACACUGACUUCAAGGACAAGGUGGUGUUGGAUGUGGGCUGUGGUUCAGGGAUUCUGUCGUUCUUUGCUGCUCAGGCUGGGGCCAGGAAGGUCUACGCUGUGGAGGCCAGCACCAUGGCCCAGCAUGC